RNAcentral lists this ribosomal RNA (341 nucleotides) under Gammaproteobacteria bacterium. RNAcentral's name for it is "partial 23S ribosomal RNA". It matches the Rfam family "Bacterial large subunit ribosomal RNA", at positions 2590 to 2925 of the family's 2925-position model. Lineage: Bacteria; Pseudomonadati; Pseudomonadota; Gammaproteobacteria. The record is from RNAcentral.
AAAGUGGUACGCGAGCUGGGUUUAGAACGUCGUGAGACAGUUCGGUCCCUAUCUGCCGUGGGCGUUGGAAACUUGAGAGGAGCUGCUCCUAGUACGAGAGGACCGGAGUGGACGCACCACUGGUGUUCGGGUUGUCAUGCCAAUGGCAUUGCCCGGUAGCUACGUGCGGAACUGAUAACCGCUGAAAGCAUCUAAGCGGGAAGCAGGCCUCAAGAUGAGGUUUCCCUGGGCACUUGAUGCCCCUAAAGGGUCGUUGUAGACCACAACGUUGAUAGGCAGGGUGUGGAAGCGCAGUAAUGUGUGAAGCUAACCUGUACUAAUUGCCCGUGCGGCUUAACCAU